UACACACUUGAGAUAUGAUUUCUUUUUUCUCACUUCUAAUAUAGAAACUUUCAUUUUAUAUUACAUAGUCACGUAGAGAAGUGGUAUGCAGCUUGUUUUUUUUUUCACAAUAAGUAGCAACGAAAAUCUCAUAUUAUGGCAGCGAUGUGUGUUUCUGUUUUUGGAGAAAGAAAAGUAUAAUUUUCCUCAAGAAUAACGUAAAGGUUAUACCACGUUUGUUUCCUCCGGGCAAUAGCAAAUCAGAGAUUUGUUUGAAGUAAAGCCAAAAUGGAAGAAUAGUAUUUCUUGGCAUACAAGGUAACGACGUGACAUUGGGGGAGGGCAAGUGAACGAUAACAUAGCUAAACGACAAAGGUGUGUGAGGCUAGUCCUUCUUUCUAAUGGCAUGAAUCCUAUAGCAUGAGUUCUUUUCCUUUUCAUGAGUUCCUAUUUUCCGGAAAGCUAGAAGCCUAAGUCCAUAAAUGUCUAUAUAAGAUAAGAGAUAUGAUAUGAUGAUGCCUUAUUGAUAAUGAUGCUAUUUAUUGCUUACACUCACCUUAUGUACUAAUUCCUUUAAGGUGAGGCAGAAUGUCAAUAAUUGCUCCAUAAUGAAAUCGGGGGAUCACGACCUUACGCCAUCCCGAUAGAGUAUAGUUGAUCUUGAGUCUUAUGCCUGUACUAUGAUAAGCAUAUUAUGAUAAGCAUAUUAUUACAAGUAUUUUUGAUGAGCAUGUCAUGAUCAUAUUACACCGCGCCUAGUUGGCCGGGCAGUCACCGCCAAGGCGGGCAGCUAUACGGAUACACCAUGACCUUUUGGCAUGGGCAGACACCACUAGUGGGGGACAUGAGACGGUACCCCGGAUGCGGGAGGCCUGGACGCGGGCUAAUGUUAUUGAUUAUCACACCGUUCCGAUAUGGACGGGCAGCUUGCAUAUUAUGCAUAUAUGAGAUUAUGAUGAGUAUGAGUAAGACAUCAUGCAUUACUUCUUUUAUGAUUGUCAUUCAGAUCCAGAUGUUUCAUAUUGAUGUUCACAUUAUAUUAUCACUGUCUUUCUUCCUUGUUUAUGCCUCUCAUACUCAGUACAAUGUUCGUACUGACGUCCGUUUUCUUUGGACGCUGUGUUCAUGCCCACAGGUAGACAGGGAGGUGAGCUUGGUGCAGACCCUUAGUAGCUGUCAGCUGAUUGAGAGCACUCCAUUGUCCGGAGGUGCUUAUGAUUCGUCUUUUGGUAUAUAUGCAUAUUUUGGGCACGACGGAGUCUUGUUCCGUCUAUAUGUUUAGUAUGUCAGUAGAGGCUCGUAGAUACGCAGUGUGGGUCAGAUGGUCUCACAAGAUGUUAUUAUUAUGUAUAUAUUAUUUUGAUGGCCGGGAGGCAAAUGUAUAUAAGUAUUUAGGUUUCUAUAUAAAAUAUGAUUUUCCUACAAUUCGUGUAUAAAAUUGGUAAAAGAGCAUUAAAUGAGUAAGAUGAGUAUUAGAGCGAGUGGUGCUCGGUGGCUAGCCCCGGGUACCUGUCACGGUCCCUAGCUGGGUCGUGACAUUAUCGCAAUUUCAUAACGACACAAACGGAGGAGGAGUUACCACAAAAUACUCUCAAAUCCUUGAAGGUUCUGCUUUUGAUCCAUUUCAAUCUGUUCCUGAAAUAUUACAUAAUGGAGUGCAGACCUGCAUGAUGCAGUUUAGAGUGAAAAGUAUGGAUUGACAGAUAAAUUACGAGGAUACAUUUUCAAACUAGAGGUAGAGUCUCUGACCGCGUGCAUAAGCGCUCAGGCGUGUGACAAAACUUAAGAUGCAUUUUUUUAGGCUCAAAGUUUGGCACAAGAAUUUUGGUAAGGAACUUUUAAUACCUCUGUUUCUUUGGGCAGUUUAUGCAUAUUAGAAUUGAUACAUUGAUUAAAAUCAGUCUUCUUUUUGUACAAAGGAAAAAUUGCCACACACUCUUUUAGAGGCAUUUUUUUCUUAUUGAGUUUUUCAUCUAACUUUGUAUUUAUAUAUAAUGAGAUUAAUUGAGAUGUGUGUUGUAGACACUAUCGUUGGUUCAUCUACGCUUGAGGUAUUAGAUUCUUUGGCUUUUUAUCUUAGUAAUUUUCUGGGAAACAUUUUUGAAUAAGACACCUACUCAGUGUCAACAGAGAUAGUCUUGAUAGAUUGCUGAGAGAUGCAUCUUUGCAUAUACAGUAUAAGACACGGUUGUCGGGAAUCAUUUGAUUCUUUACUUACAUGAGGCAGAAUAGAAUCUACAUUAAAAAGCAUUCUAGCAGGUUGUCCAGGCUUAGAUUGCCCAGAUAGUGGGGACAACACAACAAAACAUAUAUUUGGUGAAGUAGUACUAGUAUGGGGAAGCAAUGGGUGAUGAUCUCCAAAGGCUAUAUCUUGAUGGCAACAGAUUGCAGGGCAGAUUCAUAUGGAGUUAUAACAACAAAUAUGGACAGUGAUGCUUUAGAAGAUUAACUGAGCAGCCAGUUAAAAACUUGGCAAAGAAACUGUAAGAGGCGGAAGAUUAUGAAGCAUAUAUACUAGAGUAUUACCGAAGACUUAAAGAGUUCUUGAUCGGAGAUUCUUCACUGCGGCAUUUGUAACUAUUAGAAUGAGCACCUAUGCAAUGUUGGGGAGUACCAAGCAAUCAACCCCCUGCCCUUCAUUACCUACUAUCAGAAGGUUGGCAACAUUGUCAAGGAUGAGACGGUCUUCUUAACAGCUGUUCUAUUACUAGGAUAUUCUUUUCCGUUAUAGCAUACAUUUUCAAGUACUGUUAUGUGCAUAUGAAAUGGAUUCUGCAUCAUUUAGCCCCAGAACACUCAUCUCCUUCAAGGAGCUGGAGUAGAGAUAUCAACAUGGGCAGCGAGUAAGGCUAGCAACGAAUCCCAACUCUUGCGAAUUUGUCUUGAGUGUUGGUGUGGAGAUUGGAUGCAUCAAGUAUUUUCUAUUAUGCAGGUUAAAGCGGGCAUAACAUAAUGUAAGGCUUUGGGUGCUUUGUUUCUUUUAUAAGUACACAUUUCCUUGAAGGGAAAUUUCCACUUUGUUAAAGCUAGACUCCAGAAUUAUAUUGCUCAUUCACCUUUUUUGACCAAAUACCGACAAUCCAAUGACUUGGUUGUUCACUUUAACUUUUUACAUAAUGGAGGGGUACACAGAUAUUCCUUUGUUA
Molecule: long non-coding RNA, 3125 nt
Organism: Lycium barbarum (goji berry)
Lineage: Eukaryota; Viridiplantae; Streptophyta; Magnoliopsida; Solanales; Solanaceae
Exons: 6
Source: RefSeq, a predicted model, not a curated record